Long non-coding RNA from Ruditapes philippinarum (Manila clam), 1135 nucleotides. RefSeq lists it as uncharacterized. The transcript has 3 exons. The record is from RefSeq and is a predicted model, not a curated record. NCBI's taxonomy places the organism in Eukaryota, Metazoa, Mollusca, Bivalvia, Venerida, Veneridae.
CAUCUGGCGUGCUCUAAAACCAUUACCGAACCGUUGUAAAACUUCAUGUUUGACAUUUCUAAAGAUGGGAAACACCAGCCUUUGAGAUAUGUGUUUACAUUUAUUUUCAUUAUACACGUAAGUAUCAUUUGGUUUUCAUUCAAAAACUUAACGUAUUACAAAACAGGGUAAACUUAUUUAUUUUCCUUGUCUUUUGUUUUCUUUUAUUACUAUUUUCACGUACAUUUACGUAUAUAAAUAUAUUUACCUGUCAGAAUGGAAAUUUUAGAAAUCCUUGUUUCUUUUUGGAUAUGCGGUGCUUGUAAGUCUAAAUGAAAUUAAACAUAACCAAAUUGACAAUUAUAAUUAUAUUAGGGCAUUUAAAUACUUGUGUUCUAUUUUUCUUUGUUGAUGAACUUAAAAAAUCUAUCAAAUUAUUUUUAAUAGUUUCAGAUGUAAUAUUUCAAUUCUGUCAUAUAUUGUAACAAUUAAAUAUAGGUACGUAAUGAUCGAAUAAAUGUUUAAGUUCUUACAGUCUGCAAAAAAAGAUAAAAUCAUUAAAAAACAAACAAACAAUGAUCGAAGCAAUUUCAGUUUUUAUUUAAAUUACCUGGAACUAUUUCUGCUUCUUUUGCUCUUCAACAAUAGUAUCUAAUGUGAAAGUUAAAAUUAUACUAAUUUGUUUACAUUUUGCUACGUUUAAGUCAAACAAUUUUACAUUCACAUGAAUACUUUCUGCAGGUGAUAAGCAUAUAUUAUAUAUGCUUUAAUACCAAAAGACAAUCAUUUAAUAACUCAUGUUUGCUCAUUAUAAAGAAAUAAAAGAAUAUCGUAUCUAAGGUAUAAUGUGCCUCUAUCUAUAAUAACCUUUACUCCAUACUUAUCACGUCAGAUUUAAAACAAUGGUAUAUAAGAGUCGUUGAAAUGGUGUAACCAGCUACGAAAAAAAUGAACUAAAAUUAAAUCUUUGCCUAUGGCCUUACACGAUGUAGGAGCAUCAAAUUUGAGGGACUUAGCAGACUACAAGAAAUGUGGAAACCUACACGAGAAAAGACAUGGGAAGUUUAACAAAUUAGUUCGUGGUAAAUGGUGUCCGUGUUUUUUAAUCGUAUCUAGAAUAAGUAAGACAUCUCCUUCUUGGGCAUUGUUCUGUUAC